This 301-nucleotide ribosomal RNA is filed under the name uncultured bacterium. RNAcentral's name for it is "partial 16S ribosomal RNA". It matches the Rfam family "Bacterial small subunit ribosomal RNA", at positions 509 to 807 of the family's 1533-position model. The record is from RNAcentral.
CAGUAGCCGCGGUAAUACGAAGGGUGCAAGCGUUACUCGGAAUUACUGGGCGUAAAGCGUGCGUAGGUGGUGGUUUAAGUCCGUUGUGAUAGCCCUGGGCUCAACCUGGGAAUUGCAGUGGAUACUGGGUCACUAGAGUGUGGUAGAGGAUAGUGGAAUUUCCGGUGUAGCAGUGAAAUGCGUAGAGAUCGGAAGGAACAUCUGUGGCGAAGGCGACUAUCUGGGCCAACACUGACACUGAGGCACGAAAGCGUGGGGAGCAAACAGGAUUAGAUACCCCGGUAGUCCCUGUCUCUUAUAC